GACGAACGCUGGCGGCGUGCCUAAUACAUGCAAGUAGAACGCUGAAGGAGGAGCUUGCUUCUCUGGAUGAGUUGCGAACGGGUGAGUAACGCGUAGGUAACCUGCCUGGUAGCGGGGGAUAACUAUUGGAAACGAUAGCUAAUACCGCAUAAUAUUGACUAUUGCAUGAUAGUCAGUUGAAAGGUGCAACUGCACCACUACCAGAUGGACCUGCGUUGUAUUAGCUAGUUGGUGGGGUAACGGCUCACCAAGGCGACGAUACAUAGCCGACCUGAGAGGGUGAUCGGCCACACUGGGACUGCGACACGGCCCAGACUCCUACGGGAGGCAGCAGUAGGGAAUCUUCGGCAAUGGACGGAAGUCUGACCGAGCAACGCCGCGUGAGUGAAGAAGGUUUUCGGAUCGUAAAGCUCUGUUGUAAGAGAAGAACGAGUGUGAGAGUGGAAAGCUCACACUGUGACGGUAUCUUACCAGAAAGGGACGGCUAACUACGUG
RNAcentral lists this ribosomal RNA (495 nucleotides) under uncultured bacterium. RNAcentral's name for it is "partial 16S ribosomal RNA". It matches the Rfam family "Bacterial small subunit ribosomal RNA", at positions 28 to 507 of the family's 1533-position model. The record is from RNAcentral.